This 73-nucleotide transfer RNA is filed under the name Fulvia fulva CBS 131901. RNAcentral's name for it is "tRNA-Leu (TAG) (tRNA-Leu-TAG-1-1)". It matches the Rfam family "tRNA". From Rfam's summary of the family: Transfer RNA (tRNA) molecules are approximately 80 nucleotides in length. Their secondary structure includes four short double-helical elements and three loops (D, anti-codon, and T loops). The record is from RNAcentral. Lineage: Eukaryota; Fungi; Ascomycota; Dothideomycetes; Mycosphaerellales; Mycosphaerellaceae.
GCCGGAAUGGCGCAGUGGUAACGCGUACGUGCCUAGUAUGCGAAGAUCCCUAGUUCAAUUCUGGGUUUCGGCA